This 133-nucleotide ribosomal RNA is filed under the name uncultured bacterium. RNAcentral's name for it is "partial 16S ribosomal RNA". The record is from RNAcentral.
AGUUAGCCGGGCCUUCUUCCCAUGGUACCGUCACUUCCUUCGUCCCAUGGAAAAGGGGUUUACACACCGAAAUGCUUCAUCCCCCACGCGGCGUUGCUCCCUCAGGCUUGCGCCCAUUGGGGAAAAUUCCUUG